UUGCCUUUUUUCUACAGAGCAAACACGCAUACGUUCAUUGAAAUGUCAAAGCAAGUACAAACACACACGUGCACCACAACACCCUAGAGCAGAACUCACAUGGAGCUUUAGACAAAGGCCCCAGAAAAAAGAAAAAUAUAACAUAGCCCUUGAAGUUGUGAGAACACCAACGCUCACCAAUGCCCGUCAACGCCACUGAAGAAACCAUCGGAGAGUGAGAGUCCCGUCGUAGAAUAGAUUAGCACCUUUGUAGCAAACCGCUUUUGCGGUCCUCAAGUGUGAUCCGCCGUAGAACGAUGGAGACCUUCCGAUGUGGCUUGUCAGCUGGAGCAGAUCUCCAGUCUCAUCCAUCUCCAAAUCCGCUACCAGCCGACUCCGGCCAGAGGCAUCAUCGGAUAUGCCGCCUUCUCCCGCAAACCCAGCACCAGAACAGCUGCCUUCUGAGAACUGUCGUCGUGGUCGACAAGGACGAUGCUCGCCGGCCACCUCCUGUACAAGACCUCACAAACUCCGCAUCGAUACCCAAGGGCGUGUCACUAUGAGGCCAAGUGGGAGGACCAAAAGCCAAAUGGAGUUGCCUUCGGUAUGCUAGUUAGUCCAGUAACAGAACAAUCGACAAAUCAUGUCUAUAUGGUUCCCUGAUAGUUGCAUACUGUGUGAAGGAACACAGAGG
Molecule: long non-coding RNA, 673 nt
Filed under: Hordeum vulgare
Lineage: Eukaryota; Viridiplantae; Streptophyta; Magnoliopsida; Poales; Poaceae
Description: long non-coding RNA (HVUL_LNC009263)
Source: RNAcentral